UUCGGUUGAUCCCGCCGGACCCCACUGCUAUCGAGGUGGGACUAAGCCAUGCUAGUUGAGCGCACAGAACUAUGUCUGUGAGCGGCACACUGCUCAGUAACACGUAGCUAACCUACCCUUAGGACGUGGACAACCCCGAGAAAUUGGGGCUAAUCCGCGGUAGAUGUAAUGUCCUGGAAUGGUAUUACGUCCAAAGGUAUCCCAUACAUGUUUGGUAUACGCCUAAGGAUGGGGCUGCGGCCGAUCAGGCUGUUGGUGAGGUAAUGGCUCACCAAACCUUUGACCGGUACGGGCCAUGAGAGUGGUAGCCCGGAGAUGGACACUGAGACAAGGGUCCAGGCCCUACGGGGCGCAGCAGGCGCGAAACCUCCUCAAUGCACUUACGUGCGAAGGGGCUACCUCGAGUGCCACCUGAUGAAGGUGGCUUUUCCUAGGUCUAAAAAGCCUUGGGAAUAAGAGGGGGGCAAGACUGGUGUCAGCCGCCGCGGUAACACCAGCCCCUCGAGUGGUGGGGAUGAUUAUUGGGCCUAAAGCGUCCGUAGCCUGCCGUGUAAGUUUCCCGUUAAAUCCAGCGUCUUAAGCGUUGGACUGCGGGAAAUACUGCACGGCUAGAGAGUGGGAGAGGUCAGCGGUAUUCUGGGGGUAGGGGCGAAAUCCUUUGAUCCCCGGAGGACCACCAGUGGCGAGGGCUGCUGACUAGAACACGUCUGACGGUCAGGGACGAAAGCUGGGGUA
Molecule: ribosomal RNA, 735 nt
Filed under: uncultured archaeon
Lineage: Archaea
Description: bacterial SSU rRNA
Rfam family: Archaeal small subunit ribosomal RNA
Source: RNAcentral